UAACUGCGAGUGAAGCGGCAAAAGCUCAAAUUUGAAAUCUGACGUUUUUGACGUCCGAGUUGUAAUUUGGAGGGAUAUCUUCGGAGCUGACGCCGUCCUAAGUUCUUUGGAACUAGACAUCAUAGAGGGUGAGAAUCCCGUGCCUGGAUGGCUGUUCUGCUCCAUGUGAAGUGUCUCCGACGAGUCGAGUUGUUUGGGAAUGCAGCUCAAAAUGGGUGGUAAAUUUCAUCUAAAGCUAAAUAUUGGCGAGAGACCGAUAGCGCACAAGUAGAGUGAUCGAAAGAUGAAAAGCACUUUGAAAAGAGAGUUAAAUAGUACGUGAAAUUGUUGAAAGGGAAGCGCUUGAGACUAUCAAGGGUCCACGGUCAUCAGCCACAUUUUUUAUGUGGUGCACUCACCGCAGGAUGAGCCAGCAUCGGUUCUGACGGCGGGAUAAAGGUUUCAGGAAUGUGGCUCCCUAAUUAUUGGGAGUGUUAAAGCCUGGAGCGCAAUGCCGCCCGUUGGGACUGAGGCUAGCGCGUUAAGUCGCAUGGAUGCUGGC
This 541-nucleotide ribosomal RNA is filed under the name Otidea lactea. RNAcentral's name for it is "LSU rRNA". It matches the Rfam family "Eukaryotic large subunit ribosomal RNA", at positions 84 to 629 of the family's 3401-position model. Lineage: Eukaryota; Fungi; Ascomycota; Pezizomycetes; Pezizales; Pyronemataceae. The record is from RNAcentral.